GGGGGCGACAGGCUUCGACAGGGGCUUGUAUAGAUCUUUGAGUGCACGCCGGGCUUGCUUGUUAGCUCGUUAAAAAAACACGCAAAACACAAAUGCUAAUCAAGAAUUAGCUCUCGCUGCCUAAUUAACUUUAGCUACAGCGAUGUCCCGCGGGAAGUUCGCCUGAUGCGACCCGUUGGGGCAUAACCCAGUUCAGGCUCGGGCACGUCCUCCGCCUGCGGACGAGUCUUAAAUUUAGCCGGGUAUGCCAUUGGGGAGGUCUUGUCGGCUCACCUGCUCUCCGGUGGCGAGAUGAAGUGAACCGACUAAGCGUGUAGAUCUCACUGGUCGCAACCUUUGGAUGCGGGUUCGAUUCCCGCCGCCUCCACCA
RNAcentral lists this transfer-messenger RNA (370 nucleotides) under Blastocatellia bacterium. It matches the Rfam family "transfer-messenger RNA". Rfam says of the family: Bacterial tmRNA, also known as 10Sa RNA or SsrA, is named for its dual tRNA and mRNA-like properties. Its role is to liberate the mRNA from a stalled ribosome. To accomplish this part of the tmRNA is used as a reading frame that ends in a translation stop signal. The record is from RNAcentral. Lineage: Bacteria; Pseudomonadati; Acidobacteriota; Blastocatellia.